Molecule: small RNA, 2002 nt
Filed under: Arabidopsis thaliana (thale cress)
Lineage: Eukaryota; Viridiplantae; Streptophyta; Magnoliopsida; Brassicales; Brassicaceae
Description: ATSL269860
Source: RNAcentral
UUUUCUGAAAUUUUUUAAUUUUUUUUGGUUUUUCUAUGCCUUAGAUGAAUGCAGACUCAAAAAUAUACACAAUGCAACACACACUUCCUGAGCCCUCCCCCAAACUUAAAUCACACAGUCCACUUUGUGACUAAACUCAGGACAAAUCCAAUCAUAGAAACAAAAUGAAGAACAAAUCACAACAGAUGAUAUAAUACAAUGGUGAAGUGAGGCGCUUACCUCAGUCGAAGAAUGAACGUAGUUGCUCAUCAAUGGCUGCCUGUGACUGCUCUCAGGCCAUAGACGAACCGCCUUGUUCCGUAUCAGCUCCAGCAGGUGGGUACUCGACCUCAUCAGCUCUGUGGCGGCCAGCACCGCUCUGAGGAUACUCGACCUCUCUUCUUCUACUGCGGCCAGCACCGCGGUCGAGUGAUCUCCUCGAGUGAAUGAGGCGUGAUCUGCUGCUAGAUCGAGUGAGUGUAGCCUUCCUUCUUCUCUUGUGCUCCCGGGACUCGAAUGAAGAAUGCCUAGCCGGGACAUGUGAGAUUCUCUGCUCGCUAAGCUCAUGUCUGUGCUCAUGCUCAUCAAAUCUCCUCGAUGGCAUCUCUAGAGGAGGUUGUCCCUGUGGAAUAGCAGUAGUGGAGGAGGAACAACUCAGCUUAUCUGUCAGAAACUUGAUAGUCUUGAAACACUUGGCGAGCAGCUUGUCCUGCUUUUUGCACCACUUCUGCAGUUUACUGUUGUUCCUAUGAGCUUCACUCAAGCUCUUGCUCUCCCUUGCUGGAGGCACAUGUUCACCAAAUUGAUACAUGCUAGUGUCGAACUCCACUGCUCUGUCUUCGUCCAUCCCAUCCUCAACAGCUUCUUCUAUAAGGUCAUCCUGAUCCAAUGGCGGAGCGUUCUCAUACUAGAGGCUUCCAAUCUCAGGCCGAAAAUCAAUGUUAUCUCCCUCUAUUAUCCGAGUAACCAUAGGGCUAGGGAGAAGGAUGCUAGCUCGCUUGUCUGUAGAGUGCUCAAACCUGAACCGGUGCAAGUCGCCAACCAUUGCGAACUCCAGGAAUUCACAGUGACGUAGAUGCUCAAUAUCCAUUGCCCGUGGCUCAAGUCCAUCAGAUGUGAUUGGGACUCCACAAGCGAUCAAAAUCGAUGUCAAAACACCAUCUAUGCACAGAGCGCCUCGUGCUCUCUUGUGGUUAUUGCUGACAGCCCAGCUCUUGUAUCCACACAGAUUGAUCAGAAGAAGUACAGAGAUAGGUGUGUCAUUGAUUUCACCUUGGAGAGACAUGUCGUUCUUAGUUUGGCCAAGAGUUCCCUUGAGAGCCAUAGCGAUCAUCUCCAUAUCAGAAUUAGUAACAGUCCCUGUGAUCUCUCGGGAGUAGAGUACAUUGGCUAUAGAAUGCUGGAAGUACCUGAUGAGAGGGCUACGUAUCUGAUUGCUCUUUGACCUGGCAUAAUUCAGCGGUACAGAGCUGCCAAUGGUGAUCCACAAGUCUUUCAACUCUUCUCUGUCAUACUUGGGCUUAGUUCCCAUUCCAUUGGGGAAACCAAAUAAUCCUUCCAAGCGCUUGAUUGAUAACCUAUACUCAUGACGAUACACAGAGAAUCUCAAGAAUCCCUUUCCUUCACAAUUCAACUCAUCAGAGGUCAUACUUUGGUAGAGCUCCACUUGCAGCGUGGAGAGGAAUUGAAUUGUCUCAUCUUCAUAUGCUAUAUACGGAUAAGCCAUCAGAGUGUCCAGAUGGCAACUCUGGUACAGGUGCUGAACAUCCUCCAACAGUCCGAGUUGUGCAAGUGUGGUCGAGCAAGGAUACCUCGUGCUACAUAACUCAUUCAGCUUGAAGAGCCUAAUAUAUUCCUCAGCAGGCAAUACAUCGGGCUUGUGCAGAAGUUUAGUGGCUCUGCGAUUAUGCUCAGGCAUGUACUCGUCUUCCAGAUCCUCAUAUAUAAGCUCAUACCUCUCUAUCAUCGCUCUCUUCCCUCGGGCUAUCUCAGCUUUUCUUCUGAAGUUUUCAUAUUCUCUCUA